RNAcentral lists this ribosomal RNA (242 nucleotides) under uncultured bacterium. Its description in RNAcentral is "partial 16S ribosomal RNA". It matches the Rfam family "Bacterial small subunit ribosomal RNA", at positions 559 to 793 of the family's 1533-position model. The record is from RNAcentral.
CGUAAAGCGCAUGCAGGUGGUUUGUUAAGUCAGAUGUGAAAGACCCGGGGCGUCAACCUCGGAAUAGCAUUUGUAAACUAGGCAGACUAGAGUACUGUAGAGGGGGGUAGGAAUUUCAGGUGUAGCGGUGAAAAUGCGUAGAGAUCUGAAGGAAUACCGGUGGCGAAGGCGGCCCCCUCGGACAGAUACUGACACUCAGAUGCGAAAGCGUGGGGAGCAAACAGGAUUAGAUACCCUGGUAG